This 555-nucleotide ribosomal RNA is filed under the name uncultured bacterium. RNAcentral describes it as "bacterial SSU rRNA". It matches the Rfam family "Bacterial small subunit ribosomal RNA", at positions 777 to 1337 of the family's 1533-position model. The record is from RNAcentral.
AAUAGAUACCCGGGUAGUCCACGCCGUAAACGAUGAAUACUAGGUGUAGGAGGUAUCGACUCCUUCUGUGCCGCAGUUAACACGAUAAGUAUUCCGCCUGGGGAGUACGGUCGCAAGAUUAAAACUCAAAGGAAUUGACGGGGGCCCGCACAAGCAGCGGAGCAUGUGGUUUAAUUCGAAGCAACGCGAAGAACCUUACCUAGACUUGACAUCCCCUGAAUUACUCGUAACGGAGGAAGCCCUUCGGGGCAGGGAGACAGGUGGUGCAUGGUUGUCGUCAGCUCGUGUCGUGAGAUGUUGGGUUAAGUCCCGCAACGAGCGCAACCCUUAUUAUUAGUUGCUACCAUUAAGUUGAGCACUCUAAUGAGACUGCCCGGGUUAACCGGGAGGAAGGUGGGGAUGACGUCAAAUCAUCAUGCCCCUUAUGUCUAGGGCUACACACGUGCUACAAUGGUUGGUACAACGAGACGCAAGACCGUGAGGUGGAGCAAAACUCAAAACCAUCCCAGUUCGGAUUGUAGGCUGAAACUCGCCUACAUGAAGCCGGAGUUGUAC